This 670-nucleotide unclassified non-coding RNA is filed under the name Hevea brasiliensis (rubber tree). The record is from RNAcentral. Lineage: Eukaryota; Viridiplantae; Streptophyta; Magnoliopsida; Malpighiales; Euphorbiaceae.
AAAUGUUCAUAAGAUUCCACCUACGGAAAUAUAGACGGACCAUGUCAUGCCACACUGGCCAGAUCUUACUUCUCCAGUUGCAAAGAUAUGGAUUUGUUGCAAUGAAAGACCUGAACCAACUGCCUAUAAGCCAGGGGGUUUGAAUAGUGGAAGAAAAUUGAAGAUCCCAUCCACGUCUAAGGGCACUCUCAGAGCACGGCUGAGAAGCUCUGGCGUAGUUGUCUUCCCUUUCCAGGUGUUAAACCACGGUCCUCCACCAACUUCUACUGCUGCCAUGUCACUUGUAACAUCCAAAAUUAUCUUGCCCUUAGAGCCAUCAUAUCUUCGUUCCCAUAAUUUCAAUUUCAGAACACCAUAACAAGUAUCUUUGCAAGCUGGAGCAAGGCCAGCCUCUGUUGUUGGAGCACGAAGUGUUGUUCCUGGAUCCUUUGUUGUUGCCUCCAAUUCAACCAAAUGUGUCUCAUUCUCUGCAGUUACGAACCAGUAACCCCAUGGGCUGAUUUCCCAAGUUACAACACCUUUCCAUGGUACAAAUUCAUAGAAAAUUCCAUCAUAAUGCACUCCAAUCAACGCAGCAUUUUCAAAGGUCUCAGUUAGUCCAGGCAAUUGCCUCAGCCCACCACCCACAGUCAAAGCAACUUCUCCGCUUGCACCUUCAAAGACAUUACAC